UACGUUUGGUUUAAAUUCAAGAUAUAAUACUAUUACUAGAGAUGUCCCAUUGGAAAUGAAACCGGUAUGUUUUCCGAAAUUCGGUACAGUAAACUGGUAAAAAAAUAUGACAAUAUUUCAAUAAUUAUAAUUUCUUAUUACAUAUCUAUUCAUAUUUUUUAUUACAAUUGAGAAUUUUAUUACCCAAUAAAAUCGCUCACGAUUAAAAGGUACACAUGCUCAUUUUACAGUAUGCACCUAUUUUAUUAAUUAAAUCAAUAAAUUAACAAUUCAAAUUAAAUGGGAUAAAUAUUGCUACGAACACGCCGCAAACACCUUUCAUUCGGAACAAUUUUUUCCCUUUGUUCGAUAAAUUAACCACAUUUCGUGCAUUUCGAUGGUAAAUCGUAAUUUCUUUUUACUGCGUUCUUCAUACUACAUUCAGCUUUCUCUGCAUGUAUUGAGUUUGCAUUAUCUUCAUAAUUGUGAGCUCCGAAUUUCAAAACUGAAGUUAUUUCGUCGUUAAUUGUGUUUCGUUAUAUUAUACGCUUUUGUGAACCUAGCGGUUUCCUAAUUGAACUUUUUUUUUUGCUUGCAGUAUAACAGACUGUUGUAAAUUUAUUUAUUUUUAUUCCGUUUUGUAAUUAAAAACUUCACAUUCGAACUUAAGUACGUACUAUAUUACAAAAUAUUGCUUUGUAUAGUGUGUGGAGAAUAUAGAAAUUCAACUCAGCACGUAUCGUCCUGUCUGACUGUCUAGUACAAUCGUAAUAUUAUCAAAUAUUUAUUACCUACAUAAUAUGUAUAGAUUCGUUUUUAUAACGUACUAUAACCAAACUCAAACGUCCUGUGACUAAUAAAUCCCGGGGAUCAAACGUCCAAUCUUGAUAUAAUUACCAGGGGCAAAACGUCCGUAAACUGAAUUAUUUGACGGGGACGGGAAUUCUUAGAAUCGAAAUAACUACAUGCCUACCUACCUACUACCUACUAUCCACUUACCUACCUACCUAAUUAUACUAUAACUACUAUAACAGAGUCGAUAAUGUACGUGGUCAUUUGACACAAACGUUAACGGCGAUAAAAAAAAAAAAAAUAAUUAAAAAUACUUAUUGUGGACCAAUAAAAUCAAUAGUAGGUAUAGUAGUAAACAAACGAAAAAAUCGCUAUAUUAAAAUAUAACACAACGCGUGUAAAUUUAAUGAACAAUCGAAUAAGUGUGAAAUAAGAAGUAUAUAAAAUAUAUACAUCGAAACGAAUACCUAAUAUUCACCGCAUUCAAAUUGCGUCUAAAAACGAUAUAUUGUGUCCGAGUUUCGUUCGCGAUUUCCUCACGACACAUCUGAAUUGCGUCCGCAGCCUCUCAACGGCAGGUCCGAGUUGAGCCCGCGAUUUCUCACGGCUGUUCUCCUAGUUGCGUCAUCGUUAAUAAUUGAGAAGUUAUAUUGUAUAUGUAUUAUCUUUCCCACUUUUACAGUACGAACACUGUCGUCUAUACAAAUGUCGUUGUUAAAAAUAUGUAAAUUAAUUAGGCAAUGUAAAUUAUAACAUUUAGGUAUAUAAAAGGUUUGAAAACGACCACCACUGAACAUUAACGUUUACACGUUUGUAAAAAGCAAAUUUGUUUUCAUUAAUAGUACAACAUAAUUGUUUAUUUUAGAUUCUGAACGGAGCGAGGUAUGUAUUGAUAUUUUUUUUUUUUUCGUGAACAACUUUUCUAUCGGAAAUUUUGUUUCGAUUUUCAAGUGUUGUGUCUUUUCUAAACGGAAAUUUGACUUGAGUGGUACUUCGAGGAGGUCGUUUGAUUUUCCCAGGGGUUUGUUGUUUUCAUUAUUAUAUUGUUGCAAAGUUAAAAUUUAAAAAUAUCAGGUAUACAUUUAAGCGAUAGAAGCCACCCUCACAAUGUAACCGACGUUAACAAUUUAACAUACAGAAAAAAUAUACAAGUAAUAUGGGUAAAGAUAUGGGUGACCCAUUGUUGGCCAAUGUGUCACAUCAAAAAGCACUAUACAGACAAUGAACUGAAAUAUUGGUAAUAAAUCCACGUGAAAGAUUCAUUAAAUCAG
This 2042-nucleotide long non-coding RNA is filed under the name Cinara cedri. The record is from RNAcentral. Lineage: Eukaryota; Metazoa; Arthropoda; Insecta; Hemiptera; Aphididae.